RNAcentral lists this ribosomal RNA (403 nucleotides) under Escherichia coli. Its description in RNAcentral is "bacterial LSU rRNA". It matches the Rfam family "Bacterial large subunit ribosomal RNA", at positions 1 to 434 of the family's 2925-position model. Lineage: Bacteria; Pseudomonadati; Pseudomonadota; Gammaproteobacteria; Enterobacterales; Enterobacteriaceae. The record is from RNAcentral.
GGGUUGUGAGGUUAAGCGACUAAGCGUACACGGUGGAUGCCCUGGCAGUCAGAGGCGAUGAAGGACGUGCUAAUCUGCGAUAAGCGUCGGUAAGGUGAUAUGAACCGUUAUAACCGGCGAUUUCCGAAUGGGGAAACCCAGUGUGUUUCGRCACACUAUCAUUAACUGAAUCCAUAGGUUAAUGAGGCGAACCGGGGGAACUGAAACAUCUAAGUACCCCGAGGAAAAGAAAUCAACCGAGAUUCCCCCAGUAGCGGCGAGCGAACGGGGAGCAGCCCAGAGCCUGAAUCAGUGUGUGUGUUAGUGGAAGCGUCUGGAAAGGCGCGCGAUACAGGGUGACAGCCCCGUACACAAAAAUGCACAURCUGUGAGCUCGAUGAGUAGGGCGGGACACGUGGUAUCC